UCGGGAAUUAGCUCAGCUUGGUAGAGCGCUUCGUUCGGGACGAAGAGGUCGCAGGUUCGAAUCCUGUAUUCCCGAUC
RNAcentral lists this transfer RNA (77 nucleotides) under Limosilactobacillus fermentum. RNAcentral describes it as "tRNA-Pro(cgg)". It matches the Rfam family "tRNA". Rfam says of the family: Transfer RNA (tRNA) molecules are approximately 80 nucleotides in length. Their secondary structure includes four short double-helical elements and three loops (D, anti-codon, and T loops). Lineage: Bacteria; Bacillati; Bacillota; Bacilli; Lactobacillales; Lactobacillaceae. The record is from RNAcentral.